RNAcentral lists this unclassified non-coding RNA (396 nucleotides) under Hevea brasiliensis (rubber tree). The record is from RNAcentral. Lineage: Eukaryota; Viridiplantae; Streptophyta; Magnoliopsida; Malpighiales; Euphorbiaceae.
AACGUUACCUUUCUGCGGUGGUGGUCUCACUGAGAUGGUUGAUUCCACUUUACCUGAGAAUCCAUCUGUUUCAAAAGUUUUUCACAAGUCUUUCAUUGAGAUAAAUGAGGAAGGCACCGAAGCUGCAGCUGUUACAGCUGGUGUAAUAAUGACCACGUCUCUUAGAAUUGAGAAAGAAAUCGACUUUGUUGCUGACCAUCCAUUCCUGUUCCUUAUAAGAGACGACGCUACUGGUGUUGUGUUGUUCAUAGGGAGCGUGCUGAAUCCUCUUUCUGGUUAAUAAGACCAUAUAGCAUGAUUAUAUACAACUUUGUAAAGAAGGACAGUUCACAGUUUCCUCUCUUGUGUUUCUGUUUGAUGAGAGAUGCUAUGUAUCUAAAUAACCAGUUUCCAGAU